This is a long non-coding RNA of Protopterus annectens (West African lungfish), 309 nucleotides long. RefSeq lists it as uncharacterized. Lineage: Eukaryota; Metazoa; Chordata; Ceratodontiformes; Protopteridae. The record is from RefSeq and is a predicted model, not a curated record. The transcript has 4 exons.
UUUGGUCAGUCACAUCACACAUCAGGUAUGUAUCUCUGUAUUCCAUUAGGCUGAUAUAUAUACUUUGCAUGGCACUGCCUGACAUUGAGUGAGAUGUACUCACAUGCUGCUUGAGUUCCACUUUCACCUACAGGUUCAACACUACAUAGAAGGCUUCUAGCUUCAUUUAAAGAUGACAGACCUAGGCCAUCAACAUCUGGCCAGUUACAGCACACAUCAGGUUCAAUACUACAAUGAGGGCUUCUAGCCUCAUCCAAAGAUGGAAGACCUGGGCCAUGAAUACCUGGUCAAUCACACCACAAAUCAGGU